Molecule: ribosomal RNA, 643 nt
Filed under: bacterium SVAL1.20
Lineage: Bacteria
Description: bacterial SSU rRNA
Rfam family: Bacterial small subunit ribosomal RNA
Source: RNAcentral
UGCAGUCGAACGGUGAUCUCGGUGCUUGCACCGGGUGAUCAGUGGCGAACGGGUGAGUAACACGUGAGUAACCUGCCCCAGACUCUGGGAUAACUCCGAGAAAUCGGUGCUAAUACCGGAUACGAGACGCACGGGCAUCUGUAGCGUCUGGAAAGAAUUUCGGUCUGGGAUGGACUCGCGGCCUAUCAGCUAGUUGGUGAGGUAACGGCCCACCAAGGCGACGACGGGUAGCCGGCCUGAGAGGGCGACCGGCCACACUGGGACUGAGACACGGCCCAGACUCCUACGGGAGGCAGCAGUGGGGAAUAUUGCACAAUGGGCGAAAGCCUGAUGCAGCGACGCCGCGUGGGGGAUGAAGGCCUUCGGGUUGUAAACCCCUUUCAGCAGGGAAGAAGCGAAAGUGACGGUACCUGCAGAAGAAGCGCCGGCUAACUACGUGCCAGCAGCCGCGGUAAUACGUAGGGCGCAAGCGUUGUCCGGAAUUAUUGGGCGUAAAGAGCUCGUAGGCGGUUUGUCGCGUCUGCUGUGAAAACCCGAGGCUCAACCUCGGGCCUGCAGUGGGUACGGGCAGACUAGAGUGCGGUAGGGGAGACUGGAAUUCCUGGUGUAGCGGUGGAAUGCGCAGAUAUCAGGAGGAACACCG